Molecule: microRNA precursor, 73 nt
Filed under: Marmota monax (woodchuck)
Lineage: Eukaryota; Metazoa; Chordata; Mammalia; Rodentia; Sciuridae
Source: RNAcentral
AAUAACAGAAAGAAGCUAAGCUGCACUUUUUUUUUUUUUUUGAAAAAGUGCAGCUUAGCUUCUUUCUGUUAUU